UACGAAGGGGGCUAGCGUUGCUCGGAAUCACUGGGCGUAAAGGGUGCGUAGGCGGGUCUUUAAGUCAGGGGGGAAAUCCUGGAGCUCAACUCCAGAACUGCCUUUGAUACUGAGGAUCUUGAGUUCGGGAGAGGUGAGUGGAACUGCGAGUGUAGAGGUGAAAUUCGUAGAUAUUCGCAAGAACACCAGUGGCGAAGGCGGCUCACUGGCCCGAUACUGACGCUGAUGCGCGAAAGCGUGGGGAGCAAACAGG
Molecule: ribosomal RNA, 253 nt
Filed under: uncultured bacterium
Lineage: Bacteria
Description: partial 16S ribosomal RNA
Rfam family: Bacterial small subunit ribosomal RNA
Source: RNAcentral